This 894-nucleotide ribosomal RNA is filed under the name Lasiodiplodia krabiensis. RNAcentral describes it as "partial large subunit ribosomal RNA". It matches the Rfam family "Eukaryotic large subunit ribosomal RNA", at positions 30 to 942 of the family's 3401-position model. The record is from RNAcentral. Lineage: Eukaryota; Fungi; Ascomycota; Dothideomycetes; Botryosphaeriales; Botryosphaeriaceae.
UGACUUAAGCAUAUCAAUAAGCGGAGGAAAAGAAACCAACAGGGAUUGCCUUAGUAACGGCGAGUGAAGCGGCAACAGCUCAAAUUUGAAAGCUGGCCCUUUUAGGGUCCGCAUUGUAAUUUGUAGAGGAUGAUUCGGCGAGGGCUCCUGCCUAAGUCCCCUGGAACGGGGCGUCAUAGAGGGUGAGAAUCCCGUAUGCGGUAGGUUGCCUUAGCCAUGUGAAUCUCCUUCGACGAGUCGAGUUGUUUGGGAAUGCAGCUCUAAAUGGGAGGUAAAUUUCUUCUAAAGCUAAAUACCGGCCAGAGACCGAUAGCGCACAAGUAGAGUGAUCGAAAGAUGAAAAGCACUUUGGAAAGAGAGUUAAAAAGUACGUGAAAUUGUUGAAAGGGAAGCGCUUGCAACCAGACUUGUCCGCAGUUGCUCAGCCGGUCUCCUGACCGGCGUACUCUUCUGCGGCCAGGCCAGCAUCAGUUCGGGCGGUCGGAUAAAGGCCUCGGGAAUGUGGCUCCUCUCGGGGAGUGUUAUAGCCCGGGGUGCAAUGCGGCCAGCCUGGACUGAGGAACUCGCUUCGGCAAGGAUGCUGGCGUAAUGGUUGUAAGCGGCCCGUCUUGAAACACGGACCAAGGAGUCUAACAUCUAUGCGAGUGUUCGGGUGUCAAACCCGUACGCGUAAUGAAAGUGAACGGAGGUGGGAACCCGCAAGGGUGCACCAUCGGCCGAUCCUGAUGUCUUCGGAUGGAUUUGAGCAAGAGCAUAGCUGUUGGGACCCGAAAGAUGGUGAACUAUGCCUGAAUAGGGUGAAGCCAGAGGAAACUCUGGUGGAGGCUCGCAGCGGUUCUGACGUGCAAAUCGAUCGUCAAAUUUGGGUAUAGGGGCGAAAGACUAAUCGAACCA